Molecule: ribosomal RNA, 468 nt
Filed under: uncultured bacterium
Lineage: Bacteria
Description: partial 16S ribosomal RNA
Rfam family: Bacterial small subunit ribosomal RNA
Source: RNAcentral
GACGAACGCUGGCGGCGUGCUUAACACAUGCAAGUCGAACGGAAAGGCCCUGCUUUUGUGGGGUGCUCGAGUGGCGAACGGGUGAGUAACACGUGAGUAACCUGCCCUUGACUUUGGGAUAACUUCAGGAAACUGGGGCUAAUACCGGAUAGGAGCUCCUGCUGCAUGGUGGGGGUUGGAAAGUUUCGGCGGGUGGGGAUGGACUCGCGGCUUAUCAGCUUGUUGGUGGGGUAGUGACUUACCAAGGCUUUGACGGGUAGCCGGCCUGAGAGGGGGACCGGCCACAUUGGUACUGAGAUACGGCCCAGACUCCUACGUGAGGCAGCAGUGGGGAAUAUUGCACAAUGGGCGGAAGCCUGAUGCAGCAACGCCGCGUGCGGGAUGACGGCCUUCGGGUUGUAAACCGCUUUCGCCUGUGACGAAGCGUGAGUGACGGUAAUGGGUAAAGAAGCACCGGCUAACUACGUG